GAGGGUUGGCUGAGUGGUUUAAGGCGCCGCACUCGAAAUGCGGUGGGGGUAACCCCGCAGAGGUUCGAAUCCUCUACCCUC
RNAcentral lists this transfer RNA (81 nucleotides) under marine eukaryotic metagenome. It matches the Rfam family "tRNA". From Rfam's summary of the family: Transfer RNA (tRNA) molecules are approximately 80 nucleotides in length. Their secondary structure includes four short double-helical elements and three loops (D, anti-codon, and T loops). The record is from RNAcentral.